GAUGAACGCUGGCGGCGUGCCUAAUACAUGCAAGUCGAGCGAACGGACGAGAAGCUUGCUUCUCUGAUGUUAGCGGCGGACGGGUGAGUAACACGUGGAUAACCUACCUAUAAGACUGGGAUAACUUCGGGAAACCGGAGCUAAUACCGGAUAAUAUUUUGAACCGCAUGGUUCAAAAGUGAAAGACGGUCUUGCUGUCACUUAUAGAUGGAUCCGCGCUGCAUUAGCUAGUUGGUAAGGUAACGGCUUACCAAGGCAACGAUGCAUAGCCGACCUGAGAGGGUGAUCGGCCACACUGGAACUGAGACACGGUCCAGACUCCUACGGGAGGCAGCAGUAGGGAAUCUUCCGCAAUGGGCGAAAGCCUGACGGAGCAACGCCGCGUGAGUGAUGAAGGUCUUCGGAUCGUAAAACUCUGUUAUUAGGGAAGAACAUAUGUGUAAGUAACUGUGCACAUCUUGACGGUACCUAAUCAGAAAGCCACAGCUAACUACGUGCCAGCAGCCGCGGUAAUACGUAGGUGGCAAGCGUUAUCCGGAAUUAUUGGGCGUAAAGCGCGCGUAGGCGGUUUUUUAAGUCUGAUGUGAAAGCCCACGGCUCAACCGUGGAGGGUCAUUGGAAACUGGAAAACUUGAGUGCAGAAGAGGAAAGUGGAAUUCCAUGUGUAGCGGUGAAAUGCGCAGAGAUAUGGAGGAACACCAGUGGCGAAGGCGACUUUCUGGUCUGUAACUGACGCUGAUGUGCGAAAGCGUGGGGAUCAAACAGGAUUAGAUACCCUGGUAGUCCACGCCGUAAACGAUGAGUGCUAAGUGUUAGGGGGUUUCCGCCCCUUAGUGCUGCAGCUAACGCAUUAAGCACUCCGCCUGGGGAGUACGACCGCAAGGUUGAAACUCAAAGGAAUUGACGGGGACCCGCACAAGCGGUGGAGCAUGUGGUUUAAUUCGAAGCAACGCGAAGAACCUUACCAAAUCUUGACAUCCUUUGACAACUCUAGAGAUAGAGCUUUCCCCUUCGGGGGACAAAGUGACAGGUGGUGCAUGGUUGUCGUCAGCUCGUGUCGUGAGAUGUUGGGUUAAGUCCCGCAACGAGCGCAACCCUUAAGCUUAGUUGCCAUCAUUAAGUUGGGCACUCUAAGUUGACUGCCGGUGACAAACCGGAGGAAGGUGGGGAUGACGUCAAAUCAUCAUGCCCCUUAUGAUUUGGGCUACACACGUGCUACAAUGGACAAUACAAAGGGCAGCGAAACCGCGAGGUCAAGCAAAUCCCAUAAAGUUGUUCUCAGUUCGGAUUGUAGUCUGCAACUCGACUACAUGAAGCUGGAAUCGCUAGUAAUCGUAGAUCAGCAUGCUACGGUGAAUACGUUCCCGGGUCU
This 1372-nucleotide ribosomal RNA is filed under the name uncultured bacterium. Its description in RNAcentral is "bacterial SSU rRNA". It matches the Rfam family "Bacterial small subunit ribosomal RNA", at positions 28 to 1381 of the family's 1533-position model. The record is from RNAcentral.